RNAcentral lists this unclassified non-coding RNA (250 nucleotides) under Glomus sp. Its description in RNAcentral is "partial contains 5.8S ribosomal RNA and internal transcribed spacer 2". The stretch from base 1 to 71 matches the Rfam family "5.8S ribosomal RNA", at positions 84 to 154 of the family's 154-position model. The record is from RNAcentral. Lineage: Eukaryota; Fungi; Glomeromycota; Glomeromycetes; Glomerales; Glomeraceae.
GUGAAUCAUCGAAUCUUUGAACGCACAUUGCACUCUCUGGUAUUCCGGAGAGUAUGCCUGUUUGAGGGUCAGUUUAAAUUACAAUCGGUGUGGUUGGUGCCUUUCUUGUUUAGGCUCUGGACUUGGGUCGUCUUGCCUUCGGUUGACUGACCUCAUAUUUUGCAUGAUUUUUUCGAACGUAUUUAAAUGAUUUUACGUACGUUUGCGAUCUCGAAUACUAGGUUCGGUCAUCUUCCUUAUCCGCGCGUAU